Molecule: long non-coding RNA, 693 nt
Filed under: Felis catus (domestic cat)
Lineage: Eukaryota; Metazoa; Chordata; Mammalia; Carnivora; Felidae
Description: lncRNA (ENSFCAG00000040723.2)
Source: RNAcentral
UCUGAAUGGGAGAAAACUGGGUUGAGAACACAAUGGCAUCUGGCUGGCCCACAAGGCUUACAGUUCCACACGUUUGGAGCGUUUGGUGCUUGGAGAAGCAGCAUCCACUGGGAAGGAAGGAAAGGAAAGACCUUGAGGAAAGUACAAAGUCUACCCACACGAGCAUUUCCUAAUGAGCGUUCUGCAGAAAACAAGUUCCACAAAGCAUUGGUAGGUGUUAUUCGCGGGGUGCACUUCGAAUUUGCAAUCACCAUGAGGCUCCAGGGUGAGGAAUGUCUUCUGACUCUACUUCUGCAAACUUCAUUCGAUGCGCCUGUGAGAGAAAACGAGGGAUCCCAGUGUCUGAAGGAAAAAAUGGUUCUGUAAUCUAUGAAGUCAAAUCACAGUUGAUAGCAGAAAGUGACACGAAACGGGAACUAGGAAAAAUUAAGUUGCAAGGUAUAGAUUUCGUCCGACUAAAUUAGAGCAAUGUCUUCUCGAGCUUCAAAGAGAGAGGCCUCUCUCCUUGCGCGUGCAAAUAUCAAUUUGGGAGCUGAGGAAGGUAAUUUUCACAUGCAAAUGCGUGUAAGUUGAAAUGAGCAGAGGCAAUGAACAGACUGUUAAAGACACGCAGGCUUCCUUGUCUUCCGGUACAAAGGAGCAAAGGGCUGGAGAGAAGCAGUGACUUCUUGAAGGAGGAGAGGUACGUACCUA